RNAcentral lists this long non-coding RNA (14396 nucleotides) under Xyrichtys novacula (pearly razorfish). Lineage: Eukaryota; Metazoa; Chordata; Actinopteri; Labriformes; Labridae. The record is from RNAcentral.
GGAAACAGAUGUGGAUAGUAUGAACAUUGAUUAACAGGUUGACUGCUUUACUGAUUAUGUCAACUUCUGUAGAGAUACAGUUAUACCCACAAAAACUGUUUGCUGUUUCCCCAACAUCAAACCCUGGAUCACAAGAGACAUUAAAGCAAUCCUUAACCAGAAAAAGAAAGCUUUUAAAGAUGGUGACAAAGAACAACUCAAACAAGUGCAACAAGAGUUGAAGAGGAGACUGAAGAUGGCAAAGCUGGAGUACAAAAAGAAGAUAGAGAAUAAUCAACAACACAGCAACAUCCCUGAAGUGUGGAGAGGAAUCAGAACCAUCUCUGGACACAGCAGUAAAAAGAAAAGACAGCCAGUGGUGGGUGAUGUGAAAAGAGUUGAUGAACUCAACCUGUUCUUCAACAGAUUUGACACUGCUGUCACUCCCACUUCCACUGCUACUCCACCUUCCUCUCCGCAACAAAUCUCCACUACAACUUCUCCCCUUCCUCCUCCAUCUCGUUCAAAUGUCACAACCACUUCAACUGCCUCCCUCCUAGAACACCAGUCCUUAUCUGUCACCGAAACAGGGGUGAUGAUGGAGCUUGGAAGACUUUGUCCUGGGAAGGCAGCUGGUCCAGAUGGUGUGUGUCCAAGGCUGCUCAGAGACUGUGCUGCAGAACUGUGUCAACCUCUCCACAAGAUCUUUAACCUGAGUCUACAGCUGGGGUGGGUACCUGCUCUAUGGAAAACAUCCUGCAUUGGGCCAGUGCCAAAAACAAAAUGUCCUGCUGUGGCCCUCACUUCACACAUCAUGAAGACCCUGGAGCGGCUGAUUCUACGCCUUCUGAGGUCAAAGACAAACUGGACUUCCCUGCAGUUUGCAUACAAAUAACACAUUGGAGUGGAUGAUGCUUUCCUCUGCAUGCUUCACCGUGCCCUGUCUCAUCUGGAGGAACCUGGGGUUUAUGUGAGGAUCAUGUUCUUCGACUUUUCAAGUGCAUUUAACACCAUCCAACACACCAUACUCAAAGACAAGCUCACAGAGAUGGGAGUGGAUCCUUCCUGUGUUUCCUGGACAGGAAGGCCACAGUUUGUCAGGCUGGGAAACUGUGUUUCUGGGACAUUAAUGAGCAGUACAGGGACUCCACAAGGGACAGUGCUGGCGCCAUUCCUGUUCACACUGUACACAUCAGACUUCAAAUACAGUACUGAGUCCUGCCACAUCCAGAAAUACUCAGAUGACACCGCUAUUGUGGCAUGUAUUAGAAAUGGACAAGAAGCUGAAUAUAAAGAUCUAAUAAGAGCCUUUAGUGACUGGAGUCACAAAAACUGCCUCCUCCCCAACACCUCAAAGACAAAGUAGAUGGUCAUAGACUUCCGUAGAUCCAAACCCCCUCUUCAGCCAGUAAACACCUGCGGAGUGGACAUCGAAGUGGUGACAGCAUAUAAAUACCUAGGUGUACAUCUGGAUAAUAAGUUGGAAUGGUCUAAGAAUAUAGUCUACAUCUACAGAAAGGGGCAGAGCCGCCUUUUUUGCCUGAGAAGACUUCGAUCAAUAGACGUCUGUAGUAAGACGCUGCAGAUGUUUUAUCAGUCUGUGGUGGCAAGUGUGCUGUUCUACGCUGCAGUCUGCUGGGGAGGAAGCAUCAAACACAAAGAUGCAAGACGUCUAAACAACUGGUGAAAAAGGCUGGCUCUGUGGUAGGACUCAAGCUGGACUCAGUGGAGGAUGUGGUGGAGAGAUGUACACUGUGGAAGGUGGAGACUAUUCUCAAGAACAUGGAUCACCCACUUCACAACACCUUGAUGGACCAAAGGGCAAAUGGUGGUGGACGGCUCCUCUCUCUUUGCUGCAAGACAGAAAGAUUUAGAAGAUCUUUUGUACCAACAGCCAUCACGCUUUAUAACUCUUUUGUAAAUAAUAGAUAACUCUUAUGUAAAUAAUAGAUAACUUUUAUAGACAUAUUACAUGAGACAACAGACAAUUGAAUUUCCCUUCGGGGAUCAAUAAAGUUUUUCUUCUUCUUUUUCUUCUUUUUCAAAACACUUUGUUUUAGCUACUGUCUCUUUGAGGCUUCUCCUGAGGCUUUCAAAGAACUGGCCAAGGACAGAGCUCGAUGUUUUGCCACCGCCUCCUCUAUUGUGGUCAAUCAGUAGAGUAGCUUUAGCGUUAGCCGCUCCACUGUGGGUACAACCUUACAUGCUGUUGGAUGCAGAUCAGUUUGCAUUGCUGAAAGCUAAGGAGAGCCUGUAACAUCUUUGUUGGAAUUUUGGGGAGUCUUGCGUGUUUUUUUUUUUUUCUUUGAGCAGUUUACAUCUAGUUUCUAAGAUUUGACAAUAUACGUUUACCUUGUAAUUUGAAACUUUGCAUACCUCUAGCAUGGACAUCAAACUUUGUAACUUUGCAGUAUUUGUUGUUAAUGUGGGACAGCAUAAUACCACCCCUGUAAGUAUUUACUCUGAAUAUUACAUAGAACUGUCAAAAGUUAGCAUGUUUUUGUCUUUGAGCAUGUAGAGGACAAAAUCAGCAAAAACAUUUGUCCACAAGGGGUGGUAAAGUUCAUCAAAGGAGCUUUAAAAUACUCUCCUUAAAAAAACAUCAUGUGAUGAGGGAUUUCCAGAUGAAAUCACAUCUUUUAAAUGAUCUUUCAAUAUAAAAAAGCUCACUGCAGUUUAAAAAGAGGAGUCACUUAUGAAAAAUACUCAGACUUAGUCCGGAUGUGCCAACCACGCAUGCAGCUUAUCACAGUUACUCUUGUUCAUUUUUGUACCUUUUGACCCUUUUUUCUUUCUAUCUUUCACUCACAAGAAUUUCCCUUUUUUGACAAAUUCUUUAAGCUUUGACCUCUCUAUAUAUACCUCAGAGGGAAUUGAGGAUUUUUAUAAUGAGAGAGCUGGCUUUUACUCCAACUACCAUCAUGCAGAAAUGUCACUUUGUGGUCAGCUGGUCAAGCUGAAGCUGGUUGGCUAAACCACUGGAUAUUCCAGCAGAACUCCAGCGAUGUUAAACACACAGAGGUUGCAGAGGAGGUAAAUAAUGGCAGGGCAAGUCAGAUAGGCCAAGAUGAAGGAGGCUCAUGGAGAAAAGGCACAAGGCGUGUCUACCCUCUCUCAUUAUGAGAGGCAACAUGAGAUCUCUGGCAAAUAAAAUGGACGAAGCAACAGGGCAUCCAGGAGCCAAGUGGAGUUUCAGGAGUGCAGCUUGAUGUGUUAUAUGAAAACAUAGCUGCAAGGACAUUCCCAAUCACCCUGUCAGCUUCCAGACUGUCUGGGCGGACUGGGGCAGCAUCAAGUGCAGAAAGCGCAAAGGAGAAGGGGUUUGUUAUGCCCUAACAACAGAUAAUACUGUCCUGGUCAUACAACAGUGAAAGAGAGAGUAUCUGUAGCUCUAUGCAUCUACUGAACUGUUAGUGUAGGGCUGUGGCCAUAUUAUUUGCCUCAGGAGAGACUUUAAUCAUGUCACCAUUGCAAAAACCCUGACUACUUUUACACAGUAUGUUAGGGGAGAGGACCCUGGACCUGCUGUGUGCUAAUGUGAAGGACACUGACAGCUUCUCUCCCCUCCCACUUCUUGGUAGGUCAGACCAGGGCCUGGUUCACCUCACUCCCCGCUAUGUGCCUUAAGUGAAAAGGAUGCCUGCGACCACAUUGACAGUGGGGAGAUAGUCCUUUGUCACAUUACAGAGCUGUGUUAACGUGACAGACUGACAGGCACUCUGUGAGCCCCAUGGGGAGGACAUCAGUGGGCUCACAGAGUGCGUCACAGACUACAUAAAAUUCUGUGUUGACUGCACUGCCUCAACAAGGGCUGUCAAUUGCUAUUCUCACAACAAGCCAUGAGUAACAAAGGACGUCAAGACUGCCCCAAACGCCAAGAAGAGGGCCUUCAGAGAUGGUCAUCUGGAUGAGGUGAGGACUAUCCAAAGGGACCAGAAAGUGAAGAUCAGGGAGGCUAAGAACAAUUACAGGAGGAAGCUGGAGCAAAAGCAUCAGAAGGGUCUGAAGGGGCAUUAAUACUAUCAAAGGCUUCAGGACACCUGGCAGUGGAGGAGUUAAAAGGCAGUGUGGAUGAUGCCAAUAAACUCAAUCUAUUCUUUAAUAGAUUUGAAACGCCGCUGCUCUUCCGUCCCCCAUCUCUGCUGUCUGCUUGCAGCCAAGCAACCCCUCUACCCUCCCACAACCCCAACCCCCUCACAGCCCUUUUCCUCUUCAAGUGAGGGUCUCACCCAUCCCCCCUCCUUCUCUGACUCCCAAGCUUACAGCCCUUCCACAGAUGAUGACCCUGCCGCCGCUCCAGUCACCCCCACAACGUCCUUCACAACUGACCAGGUUAGAAGAGAGCUGAGCAGACUCCACGCAGGAAAGGCUGCAGGCCCUGAUAGCGUUCAACCCAGGGUCCUCAAAGCCUGUGUCCCUUAGCUCUUUGGAUUGCUUCAUCAUGUCUUUACCAUGACCCUCAAUCUUCAAAGGGUCCCCUGUUGAGGACAGUGGCAUUGAUAUCCCACAUCAUGAAGACCCUGGAGAGACUUGUCCUAGAACAGCUGAGGUGGACAGUCAGACACCUCCUGGAUCCGCUCCAAUUCACCUACGAGCCCCAACUGGGGGUAAAGGGUGCCAUUACCUUCCUGCUCAACUGUGUCUAUGCCUGUUUAGUGUUACUCUACGUUGUGUUACAAUACCAGGGAUGACACCGGCAGGAUCAUUAUCUUCAUGUAUUCUCUCUUUCAGGGAUAGCAUACAAAAGGGGGAAAGUGAGGGGGGCAACCCAAAUAUAAAGGAAAGGAAACCAACAAAGAAGAAACUAACAGGAAGGAGACUGCACAUAAAAAUAAAUUAAAUUCACAAAAAGGUUCCAUAUAAGAAUAAGGGUAACUUUAUUUUAUCACCAAAGGGAAAUUCAAUUGUCUGUAGUCUCAUUUGUCAUUUGUCAAAAAGUCAUCUACUAUUUACAGAAGAAUUGUUAAGCCUGUGGGUACAAAAGAUCCUCUGAAUCUUUCUGUCCUGCAGCGAAGAGAGAGAGGCUGUCCACCACCAUUGGCCCUUUGGUCCAUCAAGGUGUUGUGAAGUGGGUGGUUCAUGUUCUUCAGAAUAGUCUCUUCCUUCCUCAGUGUAGAUCUCUCCACCACAUCCUCCGAUGAGUCCAACUUGAGUCCUACCACAGAGCCAGCCUUUUUCACCAGUUUGUUAAGACGUCUUUCAUCUUUGUGUUUGAUGCUUCCUCUCCAGCAGACUGCAGCGUAGAACAGAACACUAUAGACACCACAGACUAAUAAAACAUCUGCAGCAUCUUACUACAGAUGUCUAUUGAUCGGAGUCUUCUCAGGCAAAAGAGGCGGCUCUGCCCCUUUCUGUAGAUGAAGUCUAUAUUCUUAGACCAGUCAAACUUAUUAUCCAGAUGUACAUCUAGGUAUUUAUAUGAUGUCACCACUUCGAUGUCCACUCCACAGAUGUUCACUGGCUGAAGGGGGGGUUUGGAUCUACAGAAGUCUAUGACCAUCUCAUUUGUUUUUGAGAUGUUGAGGAGGAGGCAGUUUUUGUGACUCCAGUCACUUAAGGCUCUUAUCAGGUCCCUGUAUUCAGCUUCUUGUCCAUUUGUGAUACAUGCCACAAUAACAGUGUAUUUCUGGAUGUGUCAGUGCUGUAUUUGAAGUCUGACGUGUACAGUGUAAACAGGAAUGGAGCCAGGACUAUCCCCUGUGGGGCCCCUGCACUGCUCAUUAAUAUCCCAGAAACACAGUUCUGCAGCCUGACAAACUGUGGCCUUCCUGUCAGGUAAUCUGUGAACAGGAAGGAUCCACUCCCAUCUCUGUGAGCUUGUCUUCGAGUAUGGUGGGUUGGAUGGUGUUGAAUGCACUUGAAAAGUCAAAGAACAUGAUCCUUACGUAAACCCCAGGUUCCUCCAGAUGAGACAGGGCACAGUGAAGCAUGUAGAGAGCAUGUAUGUUUUUUUCUCUCUUGUAGGCCUGCACGAUAUACGUGUGUGCGAUAGUCGGAGGUGAAUGAACUCAGUUAAUUUCAAGGGUAGCUGACUGAGAUACACUGCAUGUGACUCUGCAUGUGCUUUGCAGCGAUCCACCAAUCACCUUUGUCCUUUACUCAGUUGCCAAUCAGACUCAGUUCUCAGUUGCCAAUCAGACUACCCUGCCAGCUGUCAAUCAAAAUCAGAGAGGAGGAAACCCACACCGGCACAUGUUCUGCACAUGGAGGGAGACGCGUGUCCGCUGAGAAUUACUUUCGGAACUUUACUGACUGUUAAGCCCAACAAAUAAGAACUGUAUGGGUUUUAAAAUGUAUAUUUCCGUGGACCACUCUACUAUAAGCGGUGCGCGUUUUGCGAGGUGCAUGCAAUUCUCGGAGGACAUGCGUUUCUCGGCACAACACCGCUAAAAACAACAAUAACAACAACAACAUUGCAAAAUGAGCAACGAACAAGAGAAAACCACAGAAAAUGAAGAUUUGUUGCCAAAAGGAAAAGGAAAGUCAGUUAUCUGGAAUUAUUUCGGUUAAAAGAAGGAUGAUGUUGACCAAAACACGUGUUCUGUGUUCAUCUGUCGCCACAAUAACUCCCAGCACAAUAAAAGCUAAAAAUAUCUCUGAGACAGACAGAAGCCAUUCUAACAUUCACAAAAAGAGGUAAGAUCAGUGCAGGUUAAUUGUCCUCAAGACUUAAGCAGUGCAGUAUAACAUUAAAUGCUAUUCAGGUCAUCUGGUGAAAAUUCCUAUAUUUUUAAUAUCGCAAUAUAUAUCGCAGGGUUCAAAAAAUUUGCAAUGUUAGUUUUUUCCAAUAUCGUGCAGCCUUACUCUCUUGCUUUGUGCCUGGUUCAGUAAACUGCACGUGCAAUUUCAGCAAGGCAUUACAUCACUUGCUUACUCCUUGACUUGUCAAUCAAAUCAGACCUCUUAGCCUACUCGACACACAAAGAUUAUCGAGCAAUCCCGAUGUUGAAAACUGUCAGGCGCCAGACUGACAAGAAAGUUGUAGCAGCAGCUAAACAUGUCGGCUUAAAAACCACGAAAGGUAGAGAAUGAGAACAGGGUGUUUUAUGGCGAGUGGACUGAGUCAUUUGCAUUCAUUUUACCCGCAGGAAGCACACAGCCAAUUGAAAGUAGGCAGUUAUUAGCAAUACAAAUGAAGUGAAUAUUUCAAAAGAGUAAUGCACUGUAAAAAAAUAAAUAAAUAAAAAUCCCUGGACCCAGGCCUGCAGGCAUUUCAUUCAGGUGGACCCACUGAGAAUUUAUAUGAAGACCCCUGUCCUAGAUCAUUGACUGCCUGACAAGAAGACCACAGUUGAGACGCUCACAAAAAACACUGUGUUUUCCCCUUUACUCUCUACUCCACAAACUACAAAUGCAUCACAGAGUCCUGCCAACUUCACAAGUUCUCUGAUGACUCUGCUGAUGCAUGAUGUGAGCUGAGCUAUCUUCAGCUCAAUGUGACAAAAAAUAAGGAACUGAUGAUAGUGGGUCUGUGAAGGACAAAGACGCCAGUGACUCCUGUUUCCAUUGUGGAGGACUGGUCUAAGAACACUGUCUAUAGGUGUUUUCACACUUGGUCCCCUUCAGCCCUCUAUACGAACUCAGAUCAAUGUGAACACUCCAACUGACUCAGACCCCUUUAAAAGAAAACGUUGUAUGGUUUCCUAAAAAAUCUGCGGUAUGUUUUGUCUAAUCUGAUAGAUUCACAUCGCCUUUUUGCACUGCAUUAUAACCUUUUUUGCCUGCCGUAGAUUGGUCACACAUUGGAGUGAAUGAUGCUGUCCUCUACAUGCUUCACCGUGCCCUGUCUCAUCUGGAGGAACCUGGGGUUUAUGUGAGGAUCAUGUUCUUCGACUUUUCAAGUGCAUUCAACACAUCCAACCCACCAUCAGCAGUCAGGCUGACUCAUAGGGGUAGGGAAAAGAAAGAACACCAAAUCCAAAGUAUGGCUUUUAAGAUUCUGCUACUAUACCUGGACGCGGUGGAGCGACGCGGCUAAACUGAAUGUCUUGGAAAUUUGAAAUGAUGAGACACUAAAAGCAGUUCAAUCAGGACCACUUUAGUAAAAAUUAAAUGUUGAUUGCAAGUAGACAUUUUUACAUUGGUGGUAUGGCUCUGUUCUGAGAGUUCCCUGCCCUUCUAUGCGCUUGCAUGGAAUGCCAGGGCUAUAAGAGGGGAGAGCUCCUCCCCUCCCUUUAAUGUACAUACAUGAAAAGCCAUGGCAGAGAAAGCAACAGCAAAUAAAUACGAUUGAGAUAAAUAAACUAAAAUUCCCCCACAGAACAGAGCAAGCAUUAGUGACAACACAUAUGACACUGGUAAGAUCAGACACAACAUAAACAGGAGGAGCUGGGGUGGAGGUGGAUUGCAGAGUGGUUGCAGCAGGCAGAGUAGGCAGGAGAAGCAGUUUAAAUAGGGUGGCAUUUUAAAAUUUGCCAAUUGGAUGUGUAGAGGGCAAUCAGCUGAGCUGUCAGCUGACUGAGGGCUGGCUUAGGAUCAGCUGACUGUAGCCUUUAGCUUAACUUUGUGUCCUGCCUGAACUAUCGCUAUGCUCAAUAAUUAUAUACGACCCACUGUAAUGCAAAAGUCUUAUAAUCGGCCGGUUAUAAUCGAACAUCUGUACAGUACAGAGUUAAAGUAAAAAAUAAAAAACACAAGUACCUCAGCACUCGUGAUAAAAUGCUCCAGAGGACCUCUUGUGAACAGAACGAGUACUGAGGCCACAUCAAAACUGAACUGGACCAGAAAGAGAGCCAGGUCCUCUUUGAAAUAAACUCACAAUGUGAACACAAAAAGAACUGAAUUCUUUUGCUUUUGGUCAACUUUUUGGUCUACUUAAAGAGGACUGAGUGCGUUUUUUUUUAAAAAAGGGACCAAGUUUGAAAACACCCUUCGGGUAUCAGAUACCAACAGACUUAUUAAACUCAUCUGCAAUUCCAGUGACAUUGUGGGAGUACAGCUGGACUCUUUGAUGGUGGUGACAGAGAGGAGGAUGUUGUCAUAGCCACAUGUAACCUUGGACAGCAUCCACCGGUCACUCCAUUGCUGGUUAAACAAGGAGGAUGAAAGGCAGUGCGGAAGAGGUGUGUUUUGAGAAGGGUCUUGAAUCUGGUGAGGUCAGUGCAGUUUCUGAGUUCGAGUGGGAGUGAGUUCCAGAGGGUGGGGGCGGCGACUGAGAAGGCUCUGUCCCCCCAGGUUCGGUGCUUGGUCAGGGGAACUGUGAGGAGGUUGGCAUUGGCGGAGCGGCGGGUGCGGGAGGGGAUGUAGGGGUGGAGAAGAUCCUGUAGGUAGAGGGGGGCGAGGUUGUGGAGUGCUUUGUGGGUGAGGAGGAGGAUUUUGUAUUGAAUGCGAUGGGGGAUGGGGAGCUAGUGAAGGUUUUGGAGGACGGGGGUGAUGUGUUGGUGGGAGCGUGUGUGGGUGAGGAGGCGGGUGGCAGAGUUCUGGAUAAUCUGAAGUUUAUUGAGGAGAGUGGAGGUGGUGCCAUAGAGGAGACUGUUAGAGUAAUCUAGACGAGAUGAAAUGAAUGCAUGUAUAAGGGUUUCAGCUACAGGGUAGGAGAGGGAGGGGCGGAGGCGGGCGAUGUUUUUGAGGUGGAAGUAGGCUGUUUUAGUGAUUUGCUUUAUGUGGUGAGUGAAGGAGAGGUUGCUGUCGAAGAGAAUGCCAAGGUUGCGACAGUGGGAGGAGGGGGAGAGGGUGGAGUUGUCGAUGGCGAGAUGAAAGUCUGUGACUGUGGAGGUGAGGGAGUUUGGGCCGAUGAUGAGGAGAUUUGUUUUGUCAUAGUUGAGCUUGAGAAGAUUGCUGUCCAUCCAGUGUUUGAUGUCAGAGAGGCAGUUUGAGAGGGAGCGUUGGGUCUGGGGGGUGAUGGAGUUGGAAGAGAUAUAUAAUUGAAUGUCAUCAGCGUAGCAGUGGAAGUGGAGGUUGUGUUGAUGGAGGAUGUGGCCAAGAGGGAGGAGGUAGAUGAUGAAGAGGAGGGGACCAAGCACCGAGCCCUGGGGGACACUUUGGGACACGGGGGCGGUUGUGGAGGAGCAGUUGUUAAUAUGGAUGAAGUGAUUCCGGUCUGUGAGGUAAGAGUGGAUCCAGUUAAGAGCGGUGUCAGUGAUAUUGAGGAGGGAGUGUAGGCGGGACAGUAGGAUGGCGUGGUCGAUGGUGUCGAAAGCGGCGGAGAGGUCGAGGAGGAUGGAGAGUUGGCCGGAGUCAGCAGAAAUGAGGAGGUCGUUUGUGACUUUGGUGAGGGCAGUUUCGGUGCUGUGGUGGGUGCGGAAUCCUGAUUGAAACUGUUCAUAGAGGUUGUUAUUGUUGAGGUGGGUUUUGAUUUGUGAUGCAAUUACACGUUCGAGGAUUUUUGACAGGAAAGGGAGGUUGGAGAUGGGCCGGAAGUUAUUGAUGUAGUCGGGGUUGAGUCCGGGUUUUUUGAGGAUGGGGGUGACAGCGGCCAGUUUGAGUACAGUAAUACUCUGUUACAAUAUUCUGUGCAAUGUCCUAUGAACUGGUUUUGUAUAUACUCUAUGCUUGUACAUGGCUUAUUUUUUGUGCACUGUGCUUUGUAAAUAGCGUAUUAUUCUGCACUUCUUACGAACCAUUGUGGUUUCUUAUUUCUUCUUAUUAAUUCCUAUUUCUAUUCUCCUUUUACCAAUAUUUGUAUUUCAAAAGCGGCCAACAAUUAGGAUUGGGAACAAACAGCCUGGUAUUACAAUAAGCACCAGGGACAACAGGUGCUUCAGGUUUAUGUAUUUAGUGAGCUAUAUCAGGGCUGGUGGUGGGUCACAGAACAACUGGGACUUGUUUCUGUAAAUACCUCAAAGCUAAUAAGCAUACAGAGUUCCUAAAAAUUUGGCAUGCUCAUUCAACUCAUUCUUCUUUUCUUGAUUUAUUGAGAACCACACUUACACUUCAGUCUUAUUGGAGCAAUGAUUGUAAAUUAAUCAGGUUGAUAACCUUCAAAAAAGCACAAAAGACAUGUAAUAAUUAAAAAUCAUUGCUUAAAUAAACAUUUCUUUUUUAUCUACUCAUAUUAUGUAGACAUCAUUGUCGUCAUUUUUACUAAAAAAAAAUUCUUUAGGGUAAAAGAAAUCAUACCAGCAUCUUUCAUUGAAUCCUGACUCCUUCACCUUAGUGUAUCAGUCAAAGAAGGUCCAAGCAGGUGUUAAGGAUCCUCUGAUUACCUGCCAGUCUUACAGAGGCUGUGUCUCAAUUCAGGGUCUGCACACUUAAAGUGCAGAUUUCAAGGGCACAUAACGUCAUCACGGAGUGCAAAGGUUGUCCCAUUUGGCUUGCAAUUCUGAGAGAGCUUAAAAUGUGGUCCCCAAACCACCCUUCCCCCGCCCCUUUUUCAAGCAUGCAUUUACGCACACUUUGUGGCCUUGGAAUCCCCAGAAUUCUUUGCAUGCUGCUGCACAGCUGCGCAUUUCAGGUGAGACGUCAAAAAAGUUCGGAGGCGAACGCUCAGGGGCGGGGCUACAGGGGGGCUGGGGGGGCAUGCCUCUGAGUUAGCGGGGGAACAUGGGGGAGUCAGGCCCCUCCAAGCUGUGGAGGGAGGGACUCUUCCACGGCUUGAGCAUGCAAACAGUUUUUUUUUCUAAUCACCAAUGUUGGAGCCAUUAUUUAGUUUCUUUUGUUUGUUUUAUUUCUUGUUUCUAUUCCUUGGUUCUUUGCAUCGUAAAAAGGUAUUUAAGUAAGCCCAGGUAGUGAGCCAGGUGUGGAGGGCAGAGCUAUACAGAUUUUUGAGCAUGUCAGCAUGGCAGCAGGUGAACUUUCUCUUUGUUUGAAUGGAAAUAAAUGGGUCACCGUACUCAAAGAAAGAAUAUUAGAAUCUUGGUUUUUAUUGUCACAUCACACAUCAGAAUGGGUUCUAGCCCUUCACCUACUGGAACUCAGGUGUAUAGUCUCAGUGGAAAGACUACAUUUAAGUCAAAAAUCUUGAAAGAACUUGCCGAGGGAUCCCCGUUCACAUGAGAGUGGUGACAGGUGGGCCGAGAGCUGGGCCGGGAGAUCGCUGUGAACUGGGCCGAAGGAUCGCCUGGAGCUGGGCCAAGGGAUCGCUGUGAACUGUGCCGGGGAUCGUCGUUCACGGGACAGUUGACUGGUUGGACGUUGUCGCUGGAUUCCGGGAUGGAUCGUUUGGAUGGGGGUGGUGCGAUGACGAGCUGAGCCGGGACCACGGACUAUCAGCUGGUCACUUUUUGUUGACUAUCACAAGAAUGGACCGGAGGUAUGUGUAGCAUGAGAUAUGGUUUAAAGCAAAAUUGCUGAGUGUAAAUAAAUUUACCAAUGCCGUGCACAGGUGGCUCACAAACACAGACACUCUCAAACCUGCCAAAAAUGAUAAGGAUGAACAUUGCGCCGAAAUUGAAGUGAACCCAGAUGACUGCAUUUCCAACAUAGAAACAAACAUUUUAAGUAAAACAUCAAGCCGGAAAUGUUGUGCUAGCUCAAAAAGCAGCAAAUCAUCUUCAGCAUCAGCCCGCAUCCAGGCUGAGGCAGAGAGAGCUGCGCUUGAAGCUCGCGCCACAAGUUAAAGGAGAAACACACUCUGGAGGAAGAAACAGAGGAGCUGAGGAGGGGAAAGGAAAGACUGGCUGCUAAUUUAGCAGCAGAAGCUGCUUUUAAAAGUUUUUUGGCCUCCAGUCACCAUGCUCACUCAAAAACACACACAGAUGGCAUGGAGUCAUGUUUUGAAAAGGCCAGAAAAUUAAAGGACACUUUAACAACUUUCAACAACCAGGAGCAAGGAGCAAGGUUAAAGGAGGCAUCCACCAUUCUCAACCCACAAGCAAAAGAAUUUCUGCCUACCCCUUUGGACUCACAGCAGCAACAACCAUUUAUGCAACAACAAAACAAUAACCAGGAUGCUCAACUAAGAGAAGCAACAAAGCAUGUCAAUCACUGUCAAGUACCCCUUUAAAUAAGUGAUGAAACACCAACACUCUGCUACUUAUUGCAAAGAUAAAAUGAAAUAUCAACAUUGCUAAUCCAACAACAAUAUGCUCAUUUACUACCACCACGAGAAAUUCCAUCAUUUGAUGGGGACCCGCUGCAGUAUAGAACAUUUAUCAGAGCCUUUGAACACUGCGAGGAAAGAAAUGCUGGCAGCGAAGGGGAUUGCUUGCGUUUUCUAGACAAAUACACAAGAGGUCAGCCCAAAGAUUUAGUGCAUAGCUGUCAGCAUAUGGCUUCUGACAGAGGCUACAUUAUGGCUAAGGGUUUGUUAGAGAAACAUUUUGGAAAUGAACACAAAAUCACCACAACAUACAUGGAGAAAGUCCUCAACUGGCCAGCAGUAAAACCUGAGGAUGUUAAAUCCCUUCGAGCGUAUGCCCUGUUUCUUUGUGAAUGUUGUAAUGCUAUGGAGGAUGUGCAGUACAUGAGAGAACUGGACAUGCCAUCUAAUAUGAGAGCAGUGAUCUUAAAGCUUCCAUAUAAGCUAAGAGAAAGAUGGAGAGUUUCUGCCUGUGAGAUAAUGGACAGAUUCAAUCGCAGGGCACACUUCAUGGACAUUGUCACAUUCAUAGAGCACCAAGUGAAAAUUAUAUCUGACCCAAUAUUUGGAGACAUUCAGAAUACACAACCCACAACAACAUACAAAAAUGUAAUCAGGAUGAAAUCACAGUCAAAGCCACGGUUCAAAGGAGACAGUUUUGCAUGACUGUCUCUACCGUCAAGACACCUGCAUUCAAGGAAAAUAAGAUGUCUUGCAAAAUGUCAAUUGCAAAAUGGUUCAUCUGCAAAGACAAGUGGAAUGUGUAUGUGCUGCUCUAAAGACCACUUACUGGAACAGUGUCCACAAUUGGAGGAGAAAUCACACAGAGACAAGAUAAACUUUCUAAAGGAGAAAGGAGUUUGCUUUUGUUGUAUCUGGUCUGUCCGUGCCCUGUAGAUGCAGAAGAAGGCUUUGUGACACUGGCUCGCUUGUAUAAUAGGAGUUUAUUAUAAAGACAACACCAGUAUCAAUACAGCACUGCAGCUGCUGGGAGAGGACUGCCAAUGAUGUCCAGCUCUCCCAAACCAGAGUUUGUGACCCUGUUAUAUAGGGUCAGGGAUGUAGGUCCUCCUACAUUCUCUUUGUCCCCGAGCUUUCUUUCAUUACCAUCAGGUUUUUAUUUAACCUAGAAUUGUGACCUGUGUCCUGUGUCCUGUGACCUGCAAACGUGCAACUUCCAGGAUAUCCCAACCCAGGUACCAUUAAAAAGACACAAAGAAAACACCGGCCCAUAAUCCACAAUUCGGCCGCCUCAGGCUAUUCCUGAGAAAUACCUCAAGGCACUGCAUAUAGAUACCGCAUAUUUCCCCCCUUCGAGAUUCCAUAGACUCCAUAGAGUCUCGAAAAAGGCAAAGACAUUUUUACAAUUUCAAUUUACUACUAAAUUUUGGAGUGUGAGAGCGAAAACCUGUCGUCCUGGUCAUCCCAUCGAACCCUCCAGUGGACCUAUCCCUGCCUA